UUGAGAAAUGUCUGUUCUCCCUAUGACUCAUCAUCUUCUAUCAAUGUCUCUUUUAUAUACAAGGGUUCAUAUUGAGAGAGUGUCAACAUGAAAGAAUAAGUCAGAAUGUAAAUACCAUGGCUCAUGAGUGGCUCUAUCUCGACUAACAGGCAAAAUUUCAAAAUAAGAUCCUGAAACUUGCAGAAAUAAGGGGCGUAUGGCUUUUACAACUCAAUAUCCUACACGCUGCUUAGUCCAGGAACUGCAGUUAUCUAAGUAAAAUAGAGGCACACAAUUCCCUGAAGUAAAAUGGCAAGAAGAAAAGAACUGAGACCUCAUCGGGAAAGAAGAGAAGUAUCUUGUACCUAGGACUGAAAUAUGAUGAUAUGCAAAUUGCCUAGCACAAUUCCUAUAGUAGGAACUAAAAAUGGCAACUUACAUUUUCUUCAACUCAUAUUUUGUAUUGCUGUUAUUAGGCUCCACGCCCAGUGCAGAACCCAACUUGGGGCUUGAACUCAUAACUGUGAGAUCA
Canis lupus familiaris (dog) is the source of this 511-nucleotide long non-coding RNA. RefSeq lists it as uncharacterized. The transcript is spliced from 3 exons. The record is from RefSeq and is a predicted model, not a curated record. Lineage: Eukaryota; Metazoa; Chordata; Mammalia; Carnivora; Canidae.